This is a long non-coding RNA of Gigantopelta aegis, 700 nucleotides long. RefSeq lists it as uncharacterized. NCBI's taxonomy places the organism in Eukaryota, Metazoa, Mollusca, Gastropoda, Neomphalida, Peltospiridae. The record is from RefSeq and is a predicted model, not a curated record. The transcript has 3 exons.
GUCAUAAUUUUUAUGGCUUUUGCCAUGACGUUAAAAUCUCCAGUUUCGAGCCAGGCCUGGCCCUGUGCUUAUAAAACAUUUAGAGUCUAGACUCAAAUAGAAUCUGAGAAAUUUAAUGUCAUGAUAACGCCAAAAAUUGCAUGCAUGUAACUCAUUGCAAGUUGAGUCUGGACUAUAAACGUUUCAUAUGAGCACGGGGCCAGAUCCAACAAAAAAUAACAGACUUUCGUCGUCUACGUCAUCAGUGUUCGAGUCUAUCACAGAAGACCUCUUUUCCUUCGGAAUACACGGGGAGAAAAUAAAUUGCUUGCUCAUCUGCCAAACAUAGGGAGGUUCCAGUUUUUGCGACAUGCAGAAUGCGUACCUUUAGCUGGAAGUUGUUACGGACACUGUGCGAUGGAAAUGAUGUCUGUAUAUUUAAUGGUUUGGAAACUGGACUCCAUUUCCGGCUUGCCGUUCACAAUCGACAGAUUCGAGGUACCUGGGUACUGCUCCUGCAAGGGAUGACACUAAUGAAGAAUGCUGCAAUAUAUUAUGUUUGAGAACCCAAACUUUGUGUAUAACUGAUAGCCUAGGUAUUACACACCAAAUUAUAAUGUUGUAAUUUUUUGGAACAUCUAGAGAACCCACUGAAGCCAGUUUUCAUAAUACUUGCUUUUAUGUUAUCCGUAUAAUUCUCAAAUAAAGAUAUUUAAGAGUA